UCUGGGAUUAGAUACCCUGUUAUUUAAAAUGUAAAUUAUUUAUUAAGGUAGUAAUAGUUAUGUUCUUGAAACUUAAAAAAUUUGGCGGUAUUUUAGUCUAUUCAGAGGAGCCUGUUCUGUAAUUGAUAAUCCACGUUGGACCUUACUUAAAUUUGUUUUCAAUUUAUAUACCGUUGUUAUUUAAAUAUUUUUAAGAAAAAUAAUGUUUAAUAAUUUUUAUUAAAAUUUAUAUCAAAUCAAGGUGUAGUUUAUAUUUAAGUAGAAAUGGGCUACAAUAAAAUUAUUUAUUGGAUAUAAAUAUGAAAAAUUUAUUGAAAUUGGAUUUGAUUGUAAAAUUAUAAAGAUUAAUAAUUUGAUUUUAGCUCUAAAAUAUGUACAAAUCGCCCG
This 387-nucleotide ribosomal RNA is filed under the name Quametopia clintonia. Its description in RNAcentral is "partial 12S ribosomal RNA". RNAcentral also lists the same sequence under 1 other name. The record is from RNAcentral. Lineage: Eukaryota; Metazoa; Arthropoda; Insecta; Diptera; Anthomyzidae.